UCAGACGAUGCGUCAUGCAUAUCAAUAAGCGGAGGAAAAGAAACUAACAAGGAUUCCCCUAGUAACGGCGAGUGAAGCGGGAAGCGCUCAAAUUUGAAAUCUUAAAGGGUUUCCCUUUACGAAUUGUAGUUUAAAGAAGUGUUUUCUGUUGAGGUUUUGGUAAAAGUUCUUCGGAAUAGGACAUCAUAGAGGGUGAGAAUCCCGUAUUUGACCUUUACUUUCAACUUUGUGAUACACUUUCAAAGAGUCGGAUUGUUUGGGAAUGCAGUCCAAAAUGGGUGGUAAAUUUCAUCUAAAGCUAAAUACUUGGCGAGAGACCGAUAGCGAACAAGUACCGUGAGGGAAAGAUGAAAAGAACUUUGAAAAGAGAGUUAAACAGUACGUGAAAUUGUCAAAAGGGAAGCGUUUGACACCAGUGUUGUUUUUCUGAAAAUCAAUUAAAGAACUGUUUAUGCUAAGCUGUUUAGACUUUAUCAGCUAAUCUGUUUAGUUUUGAGCUUUUCUUUAAUGCACUUUUCAGUUAACAAGUCAACAUCAAUUUCUUUUGCUGUAAAAAAGCUUGAGGAAGGUGGCUUGAGAUUCGUCUUAAGUGUUUAUAGCCUCUUGCCUAUGCAGUCGGAGAGAUUGAGGUCUGCAGCGUAGAUCCUUCGGGGCUAAAUGCAUUUGUGCUAAGUUAUAGCAUUUUAUAGACAACUUGUUGACUAUGAUUUGUCUUGUAGCUUACUCGCUUAUGUUAUUUUACCUACGCUUAGGAUGUUGAGCGCAUGUCUCUCUCU
This 776-nucleotide ribosomal RNA is filed under the name uncultured Neocallimastigales. Its description in RNAcentral is "partial large subunit ribosomal RNA". It matches the Rfam family "Eukaryotic large subunit ribosomal RNA", at positions 18 to 616 of the family's 3401-position model. Lineage: Eukaryota; Fungi; Neocallimastigomycota; Neocallimastigomycetes; Neocallimastigales. The record is from RNAcentral.